UAAUUAAAAUAUACUACUUCACAUAUAUAUGCUUCAAAUAUGUUUUACAUAAAGUUUGACACCGUUAAGACUAGUGGCCUUGCCACGUAGAUAAAACUUAAAAUAAAAGUACAUGAAGAAAAUCAAAAGAAAGCUUAACAGAAGGACCCCCUAAGUCCAACAUGACUGACACUUAUACUGACUGUAUAUAAUAUUACGUACUAGUAACGAUGUGAUAAGCGUUUGACAAAACGCUAGCAACCUUCAGCCUUGACAUUAUCGUAAUCUGUCACUCCAUAGCCUUCCCUCCUAAAGGGUCUAGCUCGUCGCCUGAUCGUCAUAGAUCAAUCCAAAGAUGCAAGACAAAAAGAAUACAGGGCUAAGAUUUACGUACAAGUUUAAAAGUGGGAAUAGGAUGUAAAAUAGUAAUAUAUAUAUAUAUAUAUAUAUAUAUGACAACCACAAUUAUUCGAACAAGCGUAUCUUUAUCCCAUAUUUACCUAUACUCUAUAAGUGUUUAUCUAAUGCAUCCCUGAACUAUAUGCUGACUUCAGGCCACUAAACGUUGUCAAUGAUACCUAUCCCAUUUACCAAGAUCAGAUAUCACAAGACCACAUGCCACCAACGUACUCCCAAUUACCAAGAGCUACGCCACCUACUUCACAUAGAGUCCAGGUGUUAUAAGUCGAUCGUCCCUGAGGAUUCAGGCCAAGACCCUCGUCUUGCCUAGCAUGCAUAAAUAAUAAUCCUCGUUGGGAUUGUAGGCGACUGAUCAACCUCGUACGUCCCAUACCGCACGGCAGUGGACUUACACAUUCCUCAAUGCAUGUCUAUAUAAUCACUCAACCAUCUUGUAGCAACUCUCAACCAUAAGUAUUUAGUUAAUAUUUGGGAAAUAUCUUAUCAACCUUUCAGGUCAUACUUAUUAUCUAAUUACUUCAAUUGAUUGCCAAAUCCAUUAAUGUCUUGUCUAUUUCUCCUUGGCGUGAUCCUUAUCUCUAUAUAAUCAGUUCAGUUUAUACAGUGAAUAAUGUAUGGUUGAUUUCCCAGGUAAGAGAGGUGGAUCGUAAAGGACAUGGUCAAUCAAGUCUUUUCCUUAGCCAGAACCCAACCGAAUACAACUACUCAAUGUAUCCAACUUCCCUUAUUUCAUUGGGGAUCUAACACUUAAUAUCUAAUCAAUGUUGUUAUUUCUCUCCUUAAUAGAUCAUUUUCUUAGUCUAUCAAUCACAAUCAUUCAAGUAUAAAUAAAAUAAACAAUUAGACAAUUAAUCAAACAAUGUAAGCACAAUACAACCUCAAAUUUUCAUAGAUCAUUCUUAUGAUAAAUAAUUAAGGUCGGCAUAACCUCGCUUAGUGAUUUGGGAAAAACAUUAUUCGAGAAUAGGCUCUCCUUACUUAUUUAUCGCUAGUAGGGCUUGGGUCACCACUACACACAUAUAUAUAUUAAGCUAUUUUACGCUAACCGUCCCAACGUAUACGAGACCUUGCCCCCACCUUUUGUUGUUGAUCGUUGUUGAAAGUCCACGAGCGUUUUCUCUGAUGUUUGCCCAGAACCUAAAUAUAUAUAUUAAGCUAUUUUACGCUAACCGUCCCAACGUAUACGAGACCUUGCCCCCAC
RNAcentral lists this long non-coding RNA (1600 nucleotides) under Lathyrus oleraceus (garden pea). Its description in RNAcentral is "Pisum sativum (pea) long non-coding RNA (PSAT_LNC009261)". Lineage: Eukaryota; Viridiplantae; Streptophyta; Magnoliopsida; Fabales; Fabaceae. The record is from RNAcentral.